This is a long non-coding RNA of Crotalus tigris (Tiger rattlesnake), 1547 nucleotides long. RefSeq lists it as uncharacterized. The record is from RefSeq and is a predicted model, not a curated record. The transcript is spliced from 3 exons. NCBI's taxonomy places the organism in Eukaryota, Metazoa, Chordata, Lepidosauria, Squamata, Viperidae.
UGAUUUUCUUAAGUGGGUUUCUCAGCUUCCCCUUUGCAUGUAGGGAUUUGUACUAAGAUAAUAAUUAUAAUAAGAACUUAACUUAUUACUUUGUUUACAAGGAUUCUUGGCCUCAGCUGUUUGAACACUCUCUAAGAAUGUGAAUGGGUAUUCUUAAAAUUCCAUGGAAGAUAUAGCUUGAAAAGGGAUGUGUUUUCCUGGAAAUGAACAGGGAAGCUCACCUCUCCCUGUGUGCAGCCUCGGUGGGACUGAAGGAGCUUGAUGUUCAUGUUUAUGUAUAAGCUGAAACCACCAAAAACCAUUACCUCUACAACUGACAACAAGACAAUAAUUCCCAAACUGGCAUUCUUCACCUGUGUUUGUAUAUAAUUUCCAUCAUUCUGAAAUGGCUGGCCCAGAGGAUUUGCUGGAAAUAACUUUUCCAUCACCAUGCACCAAAGGUUUUUUCACUUUGUAUUGAAUGGGAGGGGGGAAUUGAGAUGGACACCCUUUCUGUUUAUUCUUUUCUACAACCUUGAGCAAAGGAGACUCUUAACGCUUUUGUCAGCAAAAGAGAAGAAAUAUUGCCAAGAAAAGGUACUUGGUUCCAGUGAAAGCCUCCUUGUUGAAUUAAUUAAGCAGAUGCCAAGUGGUUUUCCAGGUUAAGCCAGAGGAGUCCAUGCAAAUGCAAACAAGUCAUUGAGCCAGAAAAUGAAGAAAGGGGUGGAAAAUCACAGUAGAAUCAAUAAGCUACAGGGUCUGCUUCUGAGCAGUUGGUGGGAAAAUCACAGUAGAAUCAAUAAGCUACAGGGUCUGCUUCUGAGCAGUUGGUGGGGCAGGAAUCUGUGGGGCUUGAUUGCUUGCAGAUUCCUGCGUUCCUCCAGGCUAUUUUUGGUCUUUGUUCUGAGUGUGAAACAGCAAGCAAGAGGUGUGUAUUUGGGAGUGGGUGAUGCUGGCGCAAAUGUUCUGAUAUGGAGAAGGUGUUGAGUCUAAAAGACUAUUUCUCAGUAUAAACAUUUCACCCUUUACUCAUCUCCCCCUCCCUCCCAAAUACCAAGAGACUUUGUCAGUAGCAGUAAUAGCUACUGCAGCAGUUCCUUUAGAUGGAGUGCAGUGAAAAGUUCCACAUAAUUUCCAUGAGCCAAGGACAUCUUUAGAAGAAGAAGGCUGUCAGAACUUGGCAUCCUUAAAUUCUUGAGUAAUUAUGAGGAUGCCUGGUUGGACUGUUAACAGAGAACAGUGCCAGAAGCCUUUCAAGGGGGAGGAUGAAACAGUAUAGAACAGCCUGAGGCAGGCGGCAAAAACAAAACAAUGUUAGAUGACCCUAGAAGACAUCUAGACAUAGCCAUAUUUCCAGUUUAUCCCAACUGUGAACUUCAGCCUGAGGGCAAGUAUGCAUGAAAUCAUCCUCAAUCCAGCCCUAUCUAGAAGCUUGAACUUGCCAAGCAGAAGCUACCACUCCUAUUCACAUGGAAGGAAGCGGAUUUACCAAACAAAGCAUCCUCUCCCUCCUAUCUUAUAGUAAAUGUGCCUGCCUCCUGCAGAUCAGGAAUGCUUAUGGCCUGCAG